AGAUGAAUUGAAGCAUGCAGUUGCUUUUGUUCGACCAGUCAGCGUAGCAUUUGAGGUGGUUAGCGGUUUUCGCUUGUAUUCAAAAGGAGUUUACACCAGUGACUCAUGCGGCAGUACUCCUAUGGAUGUAAACCACGCCGUGCUUGCAGUUGGUUAUGGGGUUGAAGAUGGUGUCCCAUACUGGCUCAUAAAGAACUCAUGG
This 202-nucleotide unclassified non-coding RNA is filed under the name Hevea brasiliensis (rubber tree). The record is from RNAcentral. Lineage: Eukaryota; Viridiplantae; Streptophyta; Magnoliopsida; Malpighiales; Euphorbiaceae.